RNAcentral lists this ribosomal RNA (460 nucleotides) under uncultured bacterium. RNAcentral's name for it is "partial 16S ribosomal RNA". It matches the Rfam family "Bacterial small subunit ribosomal RNA", at positions 338 to 795 of the family's 1533-position model. The record is from RNAcentral.
CCUACGGGAGGCAGCAGUGAGGAAUAUUGGUCAAUGGACGAGAGUCUGAACCAGCCAAGUAGCGUGAAGGAUGACUGCCCUAUGGGUUGUACACUUCUUUUAUAAAAGAAUAAAACGAGGCACGUGUGCCUUUUUGCAUUUACUUUAUGAAUAAGGAUCGGCUAACUCCGUGCCAGCAGCCGCGGUAAUACGGAGGAUCCGAGCGUUAUCCGGAUUUAUUGGGUUUAAAGUGAGCGUAGAUGGGUUGUUAAGUCAGUUGUGAAAGUUUGCGGCUCAACCGUAAAAUUGCAAUUGAUACUGGCAGUCUUGAGUACAGUUGAGGUAGGCGGAAUGCGUGGUGUAGCGGUGAAAUGCUUAGAUAUCACGAAGAACCCCGAUUGCGAAGGCAGCUUACUAAACUGUGACUGACAUUGAUGCUCGAAAGUGUGGGUAUCAAACAGGAUUAGAUACCCUAGUAGUC